This is a long non-coding RNA of Balaenoptera acutorostrata (minke whale), 1475 nucleotides long. RefSeq lists it as uncharacterized. The record is from RefSeq and is a predicted model, not a curated record. NCBI's taxonomy places the organism in Eukaryota, Metazoa, Chordata, Mammalia, Artiodactyla, Balaenopteridae. The transcript has 4 exons.
UGGGAGUCAUCAGUCAUAUAUGGUAUAUAUACAUAUAUUUUUUUGGCCGUGCCGCCUGCCUUGCGGGAUCUUAUUUCCCCCAACAGGGAUUGAACCCGUGCCCCCUGCAGUGGAAGCGUGGAGUCUUAACCACCAGACUGCCAGGGAGGUCCCAGUGCAUAGAUGGUAUUUAAAGCUGUGAAACUGAAUGAAACACGAGUAUAGACAGAGAAGAGAUAUGACAGCUGAGUCGUGGGACAUUCCCGUGUUCAGAGCUCAGAGAGAUGAGGAGGAACCAGUAAUGAAGACUGAGAAGGAACGGCUAUUGCAGCAGCUGCUUUUGUAUACCCGGGAGAAAAUGGUUUAAGGAGGAAGUGAUCAACUGUAGGAAGGUAAAAAAGUCUUCCCUCUGUGAGUUCUAAGGUAGGGCCUGUGAGCUCUUCAAUGGAUAGCAGCUUCUGGCAGAGACGGCACCACAUCUUCCUGCCCAGCUUGGCAAAAAUCACUACUUGAUCAUGGCUCUCCUUCCCAUUGACCCUGAGCAGGGUCUUGAAAUGCUGCACAACACAGCACUCUUGGUCGCUACAACUGGCAUACCGGGGCUGACCUUCUCGAUGAAAAUGGUUUAUCAUCGCCUGACACAGCAUCUUUAGCAUUGGGGAACUGACCCUUCCCGUUUCAUAGGACUGAGUCACAGAACUCUGACAGUCUUUGUCUCAAGGGUUAACCCAUGGCCAGGACCUGGCCAUGAUCUAACCAGGAUCAGUCCCUUCCCCUGAUUGGCCAACCAGAGAGACCUUCCCUAGGAUUUGAUGUAUUCAAGUUUGGAGAGAAAAGUUGGGUAGUUGUGCUGUGAUGUAGCCUGGGGCUACGGGAGCUGUCUUACCCACCAUGUAGAAAAAGGCUGAAGUCACCAAGAAUGAAGAGAUGAAGCCAAGAUAUGAAGAUACAAAGUCAGAGAAUAAAGUCAAGCCAAGUAGAGAUGAGAAACGAGAGAUGGAAACUUCUAACACACACUCCUGUUCUUCCCGUUACUGAAACAUCCACCAGGUGGAAGAAGUUAACUACGUGAUGACCAGACUGUAGCCAUGACAUAAGCUGCCACAAUUCCGAGAAUUUGCCUCAAAGAAAUGGAAACAAACUGACCCUGGAACUGAAGAUUAACUGUACUUAAAACAAUCAAAAUGACGCUGGUCAGACCACUGCAUGACCAAUUUCAAGAUGACUGUCAGAGCUGACUGUGGUGGUUCUGCUGUAGCCACCUCCUUCCGUCUAUAAAACUCUUGCCCCCUGAUUGUCAGGGGCGAGGGGGAGUCUGCCUUUGGACAGGAGUCCAACCCCUCCGCCCCCUAGUUGCCACAUCCAAAAUAAAGCAAACUUUCCUUUCCACCAACCUUGCCUAUUUAUUGGCUUUUGAGCAGCGAGCAGCCGGACCGCACUUUUGGCUACACUCCCUGUACCUGGAGGAAAGGAGCAUCCUUACCUCUUGAGACAAA